GUUAGGCGCUAAUCGGCCGAGGGUCGAAGGGCACCAGCGUCCAAUCUGAUUCAUCCUCCAAUUUAUGUGCCGUCAUAUUCAUUAACCGGAAGGUAGACACAGAGCACAUGUACAGCUUGUUCUUCUUACCUAACGUGUCCUGUAUCUGAUGUUUCUUCAUUUUUCAAAAUACGUUGGAACAUUCGAGGUACCUGGUACGUUUUAAAUAAAGUUACGUUAUAGACAAAGGCUGUAAGAAAAUGACAAAAUAUUUUCGAUCGAAGAACAACGGAGAUGAUUUAAAGUAGACGACGAAGUUUAGUUUCCUUUCAACUUAAAUGUAGAUAGAACAUUUGAUUUCCAUCGUCGAAGAAAGGAAGAGGCGAUCUCCGAACGACUAUAGGCUAUGACGUUCGUGCAUUUAUGGCAGGGUCAAAGGUGCAAAAAUGUAUAUAAAAUGUCCGAAGUUUAUGAUAUUUGGCGGGUGUUUUGUUUAGAUUCUAUUUCUUUAGUUGUCUUAAAUAUGAAUCUACGUGUAUUUGUGUAUUUGUAUCUGGUAAUGCGAUUACGAGUGUAUAAAUACUUGCUGCUGUAUUUAACCGGAAAAUUAGGAUUUACGUGUAAGUUGAAUUUAAUUAAUUAAAAGCAAAAGAAAAAUUUAUGUGUGUAUUAGCAGUAGUAAUAGUCUAUAAAUAUAGAGCUUAGUGAAGCUUAUGGGAUCUUGAGAUUGCAAUGUUUUUGAAUGAAAAGUUUAGAUCGGUGUGUCGGUAGCUUUUAAUAGACAUGAAAGUUUAUGAGGUUCGGACGAAACGUGCUUCGUGAAAGGAAGAUUCAACAAAGUGGAUUUUGAUGUUUACGAUACGUAGUAAAUGAAUGUUUAUCAAUUAAUGAAUGUUUCGUUUAGGAUUGCGUUAUUUUCGAAUUCAAGUUAGGAAGAUACGCAUCCGGUUAAUAAGAAGGGAUAAACCCAAAGAGAAACCUGGAAUAAAUUUCUUAAAUACGAGAUGAUCUCUCGACAAAAGAAAUCUUCCAAUAAACACGUUAUAGUGAAAAUUUAAUCGCUAGAUACGUGUAACUGAAAUUAAGUUGAAUUUUGCGUGCCUUGCGAAAUAUAUUUCGUGCGUUCUCCUCCGACUGAAUCGACAAUAUCUCGGAACUAUCCGUAACAAAUUUAAAAAAUUUGUACAAAAAUUUCCACGCAGAAUUUACGGUACAACGAUAAAACUGUAAAAAAGUGUCGGAUCGAAAUAAAUAAAAAGAUCGAUCUGCUUAAAAUCUACGAAAAGUAAAAUACUAAAACAACGAAAAGCAUAAAAGCAAAAGCGUAACAGCCAUAGAAGUAGCAUAAUAGAAAUUUAAAUGUUAUCCCUCUAAAACGAACGUAUUAGCCCAACCGAUUAUCGUUCUAAUUUCACCAAUUGACGUUCGAUUUCUCUGAUUUCGUAAUUUCGAACUUUCAUAAAUUCGGAACUUUUCUCUUGAAAUAUUAAAUUUUUAAGGCCGCUGAUCUCUAAAAUGUUCACGACAAGCGCAUUAUUUCGCGGCUGUCGUUCAUACUCGUAAACGAAUAAUAUAUGACUUGAUAUGGCCGCAGCGUGCCAACAAUAAUAAUCCGAAUUACAGUUGGGACGCGACGCCAUUUUCGAUGCUAAACGAUCCGUAUAUUAUGGUUGCGUGCAACGCCGGGUGUAAAUGGCUCAAUCAGCCAUUUACGGCCGAUGAAAUGCAUAUAGAAUCGAAUUAUUGGACGAUUAGGCUGCUUUCUAUAAUUGGGAGUGCACGGGGCGACCACGUAGCUCGAGCCACCACCGAUCCCCUCCACCUUUUUGCAAGAGCCACCGUCGAACCGUGCGACCGAUUCGCAGAUUCGCAUUGCCGUGUUUCAACCCCGAAACGGCACGUCUUUAUCGCAAACGAACUUCCACACGGAAUCCCCUUGUACGCAUACAGACGGUGAUUCGAUCGAUCGACCAACAAGUUUCCAAGUUUCGUGACCGUGCAAGAAGAUGACAAUGUUCGGUGGAAUGUUCGAAGAUACUGCGAUGCGAAAGACACAAACAGGACAAGCACUCAAUGUAUGGACUACGCUAAAGGAGAAAGCCAGCAUUAAAGGGGAGCGUGUUCCUGGAUGAGGGCGCGUCUAUCCUUAACAAAUUGGCGACGAAGCUUACGAUAACGUAAAGAAGUCCGUUUGGAUACCCCGGUAAUUUUGAUAGAAGCAAUGAGUUACUCCUUCGCGUAAUUCAAUCCAUGCAUGGUAGAUGACGAUACGUAUAUUACUGUCCCUUCCAAAAUGUUAUUUAUGUUGAAUACGAGUGUUGAGAUUUGAAUAAAUAUAUUUUUCUAGAAA
Molecule: long non-coding RNA, 2329 nt
Organism: Bombus huntii
Lineage: Eukaryota; Metazoa; Arthropoda; Insecta; Hymenoptera; Apidae
Exons: 2
Source: RefSeq, a predicted model, not a curated record